Molecule: ribosomal RNA, 460 nt
Filed under: uncultured bacterium
Lineage: Bacteria
Description: partial 16S ribosomal RNA
Rfam family: Bacterial small subunit ribosomal RNA
Source: RNAcentral
CCUACGGGUGGCUGCAGUGAGGAAUAUUGGUCAAUGGACGAGAGUCUGAACCAGCCAAGUAGCGUGAAGGAUGACUGCCCUAUGGGUUGUAAACUUCUUUUAUAUGGGAAUAAAAUGUUCCACGUGUGGGAUUUUGUAUGUACCAUAUGAAUAAGGAUCGGCUAACUACGUGCCAGCAGCCGCGGUAAUACGUAGGGGACAAGCGUUAUCCGGAUUUAUUGGGUUUAAAGGGAGCGUAGGUGGAUUGUUAAGUCAGUUGUGAAAGUUUGCGGCUCAACCGUAAAAUUGCAGUUGAAACUGGCAGUCUUGAGUACAGUAGAGGUGGGCGGAAUUCGUGGUGUAGCGGUGAAAUGCUUAGAGAUCACGAAGAACUCCGAUUGCGAAGGCAGUUCACUGGACUGCAACUGACACUGAGGCUCGAAAGUGUGGGUAUCAAACAGGAUUAGAUACCCCGGUAGUC